AAAUUGAAGAGUUUGAUCAUGGCUCAGAUUGAACGCUGGCGGCAGGCCUAACACAUGCAAGUCGAACGGUAACAGGAAGCAGCUUGCUGUUUUGCUGACGAGUGGCGGACGGGUGAGUAAUGUCUGGGAAACUGCCUGAUGGAGGGGGAUAACUACUGGAAACGGUAGCUAAUACCGCAUAACGUCGCAAGACCAAAGAGGGGGACCUUAGGGCCUCUUGCCAUCGGAUGUGCCCAGAUGGGAUUAGCUAGUGGGUGGGGUAACGGCUCACCUAGGCGACGAUCCCUAGCUGGUCUGAGAGGAUGACCAGCCACACUGGAACUGAGACACGGUCCAGACUCCUACGGGAGGCAGCAGUGGGGAAUAUUGCACAAUGGGCGCAAGCCUGAUGCAGCCAUGCCGCGUGUAUGAAGAAGGCCUUCGGGUUGUAAAGUACUUUCAGCGGGGAGGAAGGGAGUAAAGUUAAUACCUUUGCUCAUUGACGUUACCCGCAGAAGAAGCACCGGCUAACUCCGUGCCAGCAGCCGCGGUAAUACGGAGGGUGCAAGCGUUAAUCGGAAUUACUGGGCGUAAAGCGCACGCAGGCGGUUUGUUAAGUCAGAUGUGAAAUCCCCGGGCUCAACCUGGGAACUGCAUCUGAUACUGGCAAGCUUGAGUCUCGUAGAGGGGGGUAGAAUUCCAGGUGUAGCGGUGAAAUGCGUAGAGAUCUGGAGGAAUACCGGUGGCGAAGGCGGCCCCCUGGACGAAGACUGACGCUCAGGUGCGAAAGCGUGGGGAGCAAACAGGAUUAGAUACCCUGGUAGUCCACGCCGUAAACGAUGUCGACUUGGAGGUUGUGCCCUUGAGGCGUGGCUUCCGGAGCUAACGCGUUAAGUCGACCGCCUGGGGAGUACGGCCGCAAGGUUAAAACUCAAAUGAAUUGACGGGGGCCCGCACAAGCGGUGGAGCAUGUGGUUUAAUUCGAUGCAACGCGAAGAACCUUACCUGGUCUUGACAUCCACGGAAGUUUUCAGAGAUGAGAAUGUGCCUUCGGGAACCGUGAGACAGGUGCUGCAUGGCUGUCGUCAGCUCGUGUUGUGAAAUGUUGGGUUAAGUCCCGCAACGAGCGCAACCCUUAUCCUUUGUUGCCAGCGGUCCGGCCGGGAACUCAAAGGAGACUGCCAGUGAUAAACUGGAGGAAGGUGGGGAUGACGUCAAGUCAUCAUGGCCCUUACGACCAGGGCUACACACGUGCUACAAUGGCGCAUACAAAGAGAAGCGACCUCGCGAGAGCAAGCGGACCUCAUAAAGUGCGUCGUAGUCCGGAUUGGAGUCUGCAACUCGACUCCAUGAAGUCGGAAUCGCUAGUAAUCGUGGAUCAGAAUGCCACGGUGAAUACGUUCCCGGGCCUUGUACACACCGCCCGUCACACCAUGGGAGUGGGUUGCAAAAGAAGUAGGUAGCUUAACCUUCGGGAGGGCGCUUACCACUUUGUGAUUCAUGACUGGGGUGAAGUCGUAACAAGGUAACCGUAGGGGAACCUGCGGUUGGAUCACCUCCUUA
Molecule: ribosomal RNA, 1542 nt
Filed under: Escherichia coli
Lineage: Bacteria; Pseudomonadati; Pseudomonadota; Gammaproteobacteria; Enterobacterales; Enterobacteriaceae
Description: bacterial SSU rRNA
Rfam family: Bacterial small subunit ribosomal RNA
Source: RNAcentral